UUAUUUCUUUAUAUAUCCUUUUCUCGACUUGUGAUACAAUGACGCACCCCUUGGCCUGUCUAUACAUACACAAUCGGUAAGGAGCAAACAUGACUCCGUUUACAUUAACUCAAACUCUUACACAAACAACUAGUCAACUAAUCCUCAACCUAAUCUAUCCUUACUAAUAAAGCAACUAUUGUUUCUGUGGUACGUCAUUAAAAUUGCC
Molecule: long non-coding RNA, 208 nt
Filed under: Hordeum vulgare
Lineage: Eukaryota; Viridiplantae; Streptophyta; Magnoliopsida; Poales; Poaceae
Description: long non-coding RNA (HVUL_LNC017059)
Source: RNAcentral